RNAcentral lists this transfer RNA (73 nucleotides) under Bacteriophage sp. RNAcentral's name for it is "tRNA-Lys". It matches the Rfam family "tRNA". Rfam says of the family: Transfer RNA (tRNA) molecules are approximately 80 nucleotides in length. Their secondary structure includes four short double-helical elements and three loops (D, anti-codon, and T loops). Further hydrogen bonds mediate the characteristic L-shaped molecular structure. tRNAs have two regions of fundamental functional importance: the anti-codon, which is responsible for specific mRNA codon recognition, and the 3' end, to which the tRNAs corresponding amino acid is attached (by aminoacyl-tRNA synthetases). tRNAs cope with the degeneracy of the genetic code in two manners: having more than one tRNA (with a specific anti-codon) for a particular amino acid; and 'wobble' base-pairing, i.e. permitting non-standard base-pairing at the 3rd anti-codon position. The record is from RNAcentral.
GAAUAUAUAGCUCAAAUGGUAGAGCACUUGACUUUUAAUCAAGUUGUUGAGGGUUCAAAUCCCUCUAUCUUCA